UCGAGUUUCAUCACAAUUUACGGGCAUUGCCACUGACCCAAUAUCCAAUACCCAAAAACCUGCGAAACCAGGAAACGAGAUUAAGAACAAACCUUUUCUUUCCCGCCAGAACUAUAAAAUUAGGUGCUCAGUGAAUCCCUAAUCUGUAAUCGGUCCAAAACCCAUUAAUCAUCUUCCACAGUGCGUUCAAGUUCGGCCUUCUGUUUGCAAGGCAGGAAAAUUAUUCCGAUACUUAAGGGCCUUAUUUUGAGUUUUGAAGAUUGAAGAUGUAUGGGAGAAAAGCCUGCCAAUUGGUUAAAGAAAUUGCAAGCGUCGAAAAGGGGCAGCUCACACCUUUCAGUGGUGACCUAUUUCUGUGCUACUGUGGUCUAUUUAGUUGUUGCUGCCCUCCACUCUUUGAGUCUGGGCCUCCUCCACCCUAACUAUGGUGCUGCAUUUUCUAUAUAGCUCACUUUUCUAUUGGUUAAACAUUGUGUGAAUGAUGAGAGGGAGCUAUAAAUGAACCAAUAUAAUUUGAUCUCAGUAUUCCAGUUUUUGUUUUUUUUAUUCUUUUUGUUAGAAGUUGAUUUUUUUUUCUUUACCCGCUCUUAAUAAUUUUUAGUACUUACUGUAGUUGGGAAUCUCUGGGAUUGGUUGUAGCCAAUAUUA
This is a long non-coding RNA of Rosa rugosa (rugosa rose), 648 nucleotides long. RefSeq lists it as uncharacterized. The transcript is spliced from 3 exons. Lineage: Eukaryota; Viridiplantae; Streptophyta; Magnoliopsida; Rosales; Rosaceae. The record is from RefSeq and is a predicted model, not a curated record.